UUUAAGAUCUUAGAAAGAGUUACAAAAAAGAAAAUGGACUUGAAAGAUUUUGGCAUUUAUUAAUUUUGUGCUUUUUUCUGCUAAUUCAAGCUUCAGGUCGAGGUAAUUAAUUUACUUCUAGCCGAUGAUGAAUAUGUAGAUAACCGGAAUGACAGAGGUCCAGUGUUAUUUCCCACUGUUAUUCCUUAAACAAUCAGUCUUUGAAUCAACUGUUGAUUUGAUGCAAUGGAAACUUAGGUGUUAGAAUAAAAUAUAAAAAAAUAUAAUAAAUGCGUGUUAUUUCAAAUUAAUUGCUUGCAAACAAACACAAUAGCCAUAAGAUUACCACUUAUUGAUAAAAAAGCAAUUAGAAAAAAAUAUGAGCUCUCUAUUGAAAUUUAUUAGGCUCAAAUUCUGAUAAAAUUGGAGACACGUCUGUUUAUUAUUUAGUAAAAUUUUGGAAACGUAUUAAUGAAGCAACAUGUUUAAAAUAGAAAUUAUAUUGUUGCUGUUAUUUUACUUAUUUGUCUACAUUUUGGGGCAAUCAGCAAAUAGGGCUUCAAACAUCACUAAUGUGACCUUUACAGAUUUACUUUUCAUACCUCUUAAACCUCCUUUUUUCCCUCCUGUAAUUAAUGUAAACGUAUAAAGAACUGUGAAGCAAAAGAUUUUUUCUAUUCGACUUACCUGAAUUAUCUACUUAAUCAAAUGUUACUUUUAGUUGAAUAUAAUACAUACAAUGAAGAUAUUAGUAGCCCAAGAGAAUAUAUACCUUCGUUUGUAUUUUUUUCGUGUCAUAAAAUUUUAAGUGUCUUGUCAGUCGUAGUUCAUGAGUUUUAUUGGUAAAUAAAGAAAUAAAAUAAAUGAGUUGUUUUCCUUUUAAA
Long non-coding RNA from Tribolium madens (black flour beetle), 863 nucleotides. RefSeq lists it as uncharacterized. The transcript has 3 exons. NCBI's taxonomy places the organism in Eukaryota, Metazoa, Arthropoda, Insecta, Coleoptera, Tenebrionidae. The record is from RefSeq and is a predicted model, not a curated record.